GAAUGGUCUAAUGCCUCCCAUCAAAAAGAGAGCUGGCCCAAGCAAGCACAGGUUACACCUGAAUCAUGAGGACUUGCAAGUGGUGAACUUCAACAACUACGCAGAGGAUAAUGCAAUCGUGUUACCAGGACGCCACCCAGGACACAAACACUUUGGUGGAAAGCUGCUGCCAUCCCAUGUGACAAAAGCAGCAGUGUGGCGUCUCUACAAGGAAUCGAUGACAACACUUGAGGUACGUGUAGUCAUACUUCCAGUUUCCAAGAUGAUGUUCUUUCUGUAUGCAGUGCUGCUGCUCUGCACAUUUGUGCACUAUCCUUCUGACCCUAUGCCAGGUCCCAUUUACUUAUUAACUCCACGCAAAUCGGGCUUGUUUGGUGUCUGCUGUGAAGGAAUACCACAACAAGUCAACUACUUGAUUGAUGAAGGUAUGUCAUCCAGCAAAGGCAGCAGCGCAGUCAACUACAUGCACCAUUUCUUCACCAACUAGUUGGAUAAAAACACGUUGACCUGAAUUGUGAUAACUGCAGUGGCCAAAACAAGAACAAGUUUGUGCUCUGGUAUUGUGCCUGGCGGACCAUUCACAAGCUCCACCACAGUCUGGACCUUCACUUCCUGAUCACAGACCACACCAAGUUUGACCCCGACUGGUGCUUUGGCCUCAUCAAGCAGCUCUUCAGAAAGACCAGAGUGAACACUGUGAGAUUUCUGCUGUUGUGAAGGACAGCACUGUGACAGGGGUCAACAUCCCACAGCUGGUUGGACUGGAGGAUGGUACGGUGCUGGUGGAAAGCUAUGGCUGGCAACAACACCUGACUACAUACUUCAGGCCUCUGCCACAGAUCAAGCAGUAUCAGCGCGUCAGCUUCGAUGCUCUGGAGCCUGGUGUUUUCGCAAAGGAGCGUUCGGACUCAGUCGGGACCAGGUUUCAGCUGUUGCGCAAUGCUGACAUCCUUCCUCCCAUAGAUGGUCUGCCUGUACAAGCACCACCUGGACUGGACACAGCUCGACAGAUCAGGGAGUUUUGUGACGAAAAGGCUAUGGACAUCACAUUUAUUUUGAUAUUGCUACUAUGCAAGUAACCAUUUGGCUGUACCGUUUAUACCCUCUUUAGAGACCCAUCCACUUGGCAAUAUGUGGCUGGGGAUUAUAGCAUUUCUUUCACAUGGCCCAUCAAUUUAGACAAGUGUGUCUGGGUAAGCAUCAUCUAAUUUAUUGUUUACCUGGAUUUUUUAAAUUAAUCUUUACUACACUACUCGCUUUUUAGCACAUGACCUCACAUGUGAAUCCUUAAGAGAAGGGUGGGGCUGGCUUAAGUGGGUGUGAACAAUGCUGAAUGGGUGUCGACAAAGAAGAGCUCUACAGUAGGUACAAAAACAUUCUCAAAAGUGAGUUUACAAGUUUGUCUACUUUCAAAGCAUAAUUACUUUCCCAUUAUUCCUCAAAUGCAGUGUAUGAUAUACCAUUUUGUAGCUCUGAGUCUACUUUUAUCCAAUGUAAAAAAAAAAAAAAAAAUUUUUUUUGCUACAUAAGACCGAUUUGAGUCAGUCAGUUAAUAUUUACGGUGUGGAUACUUCUUAGGCAUCAGUGCAGUUUGAAAUAACUACCUGGAUUGGUCAAAUGCUACUUCAUUGAAUUGGAGGAUAGAUUGCAUUUGCCAGAAGAUACCGAACAUACCGUUAUGCGCAAUGCAUGUUUACACAGAUGCACUGCAGGCGGUUUGGUUUCAUUAAGACACCGUGGAGCCCGCGCGUGAAAUGGAUUGGAAAACAUACCUCAAUGCAGAGAUGGGAUAUGCCACUGUACUCUAAAUGUUAACUUUAUCCACACUGCUUCAUCGAGAAGAUUGAAAUACUGUUCGUUUUCCCAGAAAACUGCCCUUUUUGUUCCCAUGCUAGCUAGCAGUGGGCAAUGCAGCCAUUUUGCAAUGGCAGCAUCAGCUAAUGGUCCUUGCUAUCAGAAAUCCUUGGGGAUGUCCCUUAAAAUGGUUAGGGUAGUGCUUAGGGUAGGGACAUCAAGGAUUCCAGAUAGUACUAACAAUUUCAUAAUGGCCGAGGUGGCUACUGCUAGCUAGCAGAUGACGAAAAGCCAGUAUUCCAAUGUUCUCUAACAGUAUUCCAAUGUUCUCGAAGGAGCAGUGUGGAUUAAGAUACAAUUUGGAGUAUAGUGGUAUUAAGUGCCUUCAGAAAGUACUCACACCCCUAGACUUUUCCCACAUUUCAUUGUGCUACAGCCUGAAUUCAAAAUGUAUUAAAAGUGAAAAAAUUGUCACUGGUCUGCACACAAUACCUCAAUGUCCAAGGUGAAUGUUUCUUAAAGUAUUGUCACAAAUUAAUAAAAAAUGAAAAUGCUGAAAUGUAUGUAUUCAACCCCUUUGAUAUGGCAAUCUUAAAUUUACAUUUACAUUUAAGUCAUUUAGCAGACGCUCUUAUCCAGAGCAGGAGUAAAAAUGUGCUUAACAAGUCACAUAAGUUACAUGGACUCACUGUGUGCAAUAAUAGUAUUUAACAUGAGAUGAGGCUAGUCCUUGAAAAAAUAUCAUCACACAUAAAAUUAUCUGUAAGGUCCCUCAGUCAAGCAGUGAAUUGCAAACACUGAUUCAACCACAAAGACCAGGGACAUUUUCCAAUGCCUCUGAAAGAAGGGCACCUACUUCUAAUGGGUAAAAUUAAAAUAAAAGCAGAUCUUGAAAAUGCUUUUGAGCCUGGUGAAGUUAUUACACUCUGGAUGGUGUAUCAAUACAGCCAGUCACUACAAAGAUACAGGUGUCCUUCCCAACUCAGUUGC
Oncorhynchus gorbuscha (pink salmon) is the source of this 2784-nucleotide long non-coding RNA. RefSeq lists it as uncharacterized. Lineage: Eukaryota; Metazoa; Chordata; Actinopteri; Salmoniformes; Salmonidae. The record is from RefSeq and is a predicted model, not a curated record. The transcript has 4 exons.